Molecule: long non-coding RNA, 426 nt
Organism: Actinia tenebrosa (Australian red waratah sea anemone)
Lineage: Eukaryota; Metazoa; Cnidaria; Anthozoa; Actiniaria; Actiniidae
Source: RefSeq, a predicted model, not a curated record
CGACCAUCUCCCGCAAAUGUGAAGAUGACAAAGAUUUCAUGAAGAAACUGUUUCGAAUUUUAGUUUUGACCUUGUGCUUUCACCACCAUAACUAAAACUUCAGUGAUUUUACAGUAUGCAGCUUUGGCCUUGGAAUGAUAAAGUCAUUUUAUAAUUAAAUAAAUAAAUAAAUAAAAACGUUGUCGUCGACAGGCUCAAGGAUUCCUGGCUUGACCAAAAGGAAAUACGGAAAGAAGUGAAAAUGUGCUGUUUCGGUCUUGAGGAUAGGAUUACUAAUGCAACAACAAUAAAGAAACAAGACGAUAUGAAGCUCUGUGUUACAGGUUAAAGAAGAUGAAAUGUUUUCUAAGCAGCUUCCGCUUUUUCUUUCCUUGGAUCGCUCUUCAAUUGUUUGUUAACUUGUCAGGUAAGACUAAAACAAGAAAU